Molecule: ribosomal RNA, 468 nt
Filed under: uncultured bacterium
Lineage: Bacteria
Description: partial 16S ribosomal RNA
Rfam family: Bacterial small subunit ribosomal RNA
Source: RNAcentral
GACGAACGCUGGCGGCGUGCUUAACACAUGCAAGUCGAACGGAAAGGCCCUGCUUUUGUGGGGUGCUCGAGUGGCGAACGGGUGAGUAACACGUGAGUAACCUGCCCUUGACUUUGGGAUAACUUCAGGAAACUGGGGCUAAUACCGGAUAGGAGCUCCUGCUGCAUGGUGGGGGUUGGAAAGUUUCGGCGGUUGGGGAUGGACUCGCGGCUUAUCAGCUUGUUGGUGGGGUAGUGGCUUACCAAGGGUUUGACGGGUAGCCGGCCUGAGAGGGUGACCGGGCACAAUGGGACUGAGAUACGGCCCAGACUCCAACGGGAGGCAGCAGGCGAGAAUAUUGCACAAUGGGCGGAAGCCUGAUGCAGCAACGCCGCGUGCGGGAUGACGGCCUUCGGGUUGUAAACCGCUUUCGCCUGUGACGAAGCGUGAGUGACGGUAAUGGGUAAAGAAGCACCGGCUAACUACGUG